CCGUCAGUAAGCGUGGGGGUACUGGCGGGCAAACUCACCACCAAACCUCAUUCUCACCGAACACCGGACCCACGGAGGACAGGUGAGGCCCAGCCCUGAGAAGACUCAGGCUGUCCAGGAGUGGC
Gambusia affinis (western mosquitofish) is the source of this 125-nucleotide long non-coding RNA. RefSeq lists it as uncharacterized. Lineage: Eukaryota; Metazoa; Chordata; Actinopteri; Cyprinodontiformes; Poeciliidae. The record is from RefSeq and is a predicted model, not a curated record. The transcript has 3 exons.